GGCCCGACGUAAUCGUAAGCUGCUCUGCAGGCUUAGUAAAAUCGAUGAAACCAUCGGAAUUUCGGUCGUGACGCUUUUAAGUAGCGGGCUCCACGGUGCGCUAAUACGGAGAACCAGUUUGCGUAACUUCUGUCAGUCUGAAGCACUGCCUGAUGGCGUUCUGGUGCAGAAGAAGGUCUAACCUGGCCCAGAGGUUAACCAUCCAGACUCGUAACCGGCUUGAGGAGGAGCGUACACCUCCAUACGCCUUCGCAGGCUUGCCCAUAUUUGCGCUAGCAGUGAAUUCUGUCCCGUUGGGUCUUUCUGACCGGCCUGCCGGCUUUCCAGGAGAG
Aptenodytes forsteri (emperor penguin) is the source of this 332-nucleotide long non-coding RNA. RefSeq lists it as uncharacterized. NCBI's taxonomy places the organism in Eukaryota, Metazoa, Chordata, Aves, Sphenisciformes, Spheniscidae. The transcript is spliced from 3 exons. The record is from RefSeq and is a predicted model, not a curated record.